RNAcentral lists this ribosomal RNA (90 nucleotides) under Halobacillus aidingensis. The record is from RNAcentral. Lineage: Bacteria; Bacillati; Bacillota; Bacilli; Caryophanales; Bacillaceae.
ACACCUGUUCCCAUGCCGAACACAGCAGUUAAGCUCUUCAGCGCCGAUGGUAGUCGGGUUUACCCCCGUGAGAGUAGGACGCCGCCACAU